UACGUAGGGAGCAAGCGUUGUCCGGAAUUACUGGGCGUAAAGGGCGCGUAGGCGGGAAUUUAAGUCAGGUGUGAAAACUCUGGGCUCAACCUGGAGACUGCACUUGAAACUGGAUUUCUUGAGGGCAGGAGAGGAAAGUGGAAUUCCUAGUGUAGCGGUGAAAUGCGUAGAUAUUAGGAGGAACACCAGUGGCGAAGGCGACUUUCUGGACUGUACCUGACGCUGAGGCGCGAAAGCGUG
Molecule: ribosomal RNA, 240 nt
Filed under: uncultured bacterium
Lineage: Bacteria
Description: partial 16S ribosomal RNA
Rfam family: Bacterial small subunit ribosomal RNA
Source: RNAcentral